UGGGAACGUGCCCUUUGGUUCGGAAUAACUCAGGGAAACUUGAGCUAAUACCGGAUAAGUCCGUAAGGAGAAAGAUUUAUCGCCGAAGGAGCGGCCCGCGUCCGAUUAGCUAGUUGGUGGGGUAAUGGCCCACCAAGGCUACGAUCGGUAGCUGGACUGAGAGGAUGACCAGCCACACUGGGACUGAGACACGGCCCAGACUCCUACGGGAGGCAG
This 216-nucleotide ribosomal RNA is filed under the name uncultured bacterium. Its description in RNAcentral is "partial 16S ribosomal RNA". It matches the Rfam family "Bacterial small subunit ribosomal RNA", at positions 118 to 351 of the family's 1533-position model. The record is from RNAcentral.